RNAcentral lists this unclassified non-coding RNA (336 nucleotides) under soil metagenome. RNAcentral describes it as "partial contains 5.8S ribosomal RNA, internal transcribed spacer 2, and large subunit ribosomal RNA". The stretch from base 1 to 120 matches the Rfam family "5.8S ribosomal RNA", at positions 35 to 154 of the family's 154-position model. The record is from RNAcentral.
GAUGAAGAACGUAGCGAAAUGCGAUAAGUAGUGUGAAUUGCAGAAUUCAGUGAAUCAUCGAAUCUUUGAACGCACAUUGCGCCCCUUGGUAUUCCAUGGGGCAUGCCUGUUCGAGCGUCAUUUGUACCUUCAAGCUUUGCUUGGUGUUGGGUGUUUGCCUCGCCUUUGCGUGUAGACUCGCCUUAAAAUAAUUGGCAGCCGGCGUAUUGAUUUCGGAGCGCAGUACAUCUCGCGCUUUGCACUCAUAACGACAGCGUCCAAAAGUACAUUUUACACUCUUGACCUCGGAUCAGGUAGGGAUACCCGCUGAACUUAAGCAUAUCAAUAAGCGGAGGA